Molecule: long non-coding RNA, 3986 nt
Filed under: Numida meleagris (helmeted guineafowl)
Lineage: Eukaryota; Metazoa; Chordata; Aves; Galliformes; Numididae
Description: lncRNA (ENSNMEG00000001412.1)
Source: RNAcentral
AUGAGAAGCUCAGGCUGGAAUCAGCACUGCCUGUCGUCCAUCAAACCCCCUGAGUGCUUUGUCUUCAUUUUGACUUGGUUUCUCCUUUGUGGGCUUGUGGCCGGGCUUCUGCCAGACAGUGGUGGGUCUAAAUCUGCUGCUGGGAACACUUCAGGCUCACAAAAAUACGACGUUAAAACUAACCCUUUGCUUACCUGGGGAUCUGGGAUUACUCAUCACCCACGCAGGCUGCCUGUUUUCCUAUCCACACACAUUCUCUGACCCAGACCAGCUGGCUAGAGACCAUGAUCCCAGCAGCAAGAAGUGGGAACUGUUGGAUACCAAGAAGAAAACUGCUGCUGGGUCACUCCAAGUCAGCACAGCCUCCAGGUCUCAGAAAUACUUGGACAGAGAGAUCCAAGACAAGCCAUGCACUCUGCUCAGCUCAUCCCCUGCCACUGCUCCUCCCUGCAAACACCUCCCUCACCCCAGUUCCCCUGAAGACAGAGAGGUAAGUGUGAUAUAAAAGGCAGAGCCGUGAACUAGAAAGCUAUGAGAACAGGCAGAAAUUAAUUCAGCAGCUCAAGGGAUACAAUUGAGAAUCAACCAGAACAUCUCAGAAAUUGCUGCUGGCGACUCCACAGUUGUUCUGUAGCAUGAGGAAGAUAUUGAGCAACUCUGGGCUGCACUGUGAGAAAGGUACUGAAUGUCGUGGCAAAGAAGCAUAGUGGAAAUGUCAUGAAAAAGCUGGGAGGAUGCACUUGGGUGGAAAUACAAGUUAUACUUGGAAGAGAAGGUUCAUCACGUCCCAGCAAAGGGGAAGAUGUGGAGCUCAGAGCUAUCUCUGGCCACUUCUCGGUCAUGUAGCCAGAAGAAAAAGCCAUGUUCUUGUGUAGACAUUGUCCUGCUAAAAAGGCUGUUGGGCUGGGAAGAACAAGAGGCAGCUUUUGGUUUUGCCACAGUUUUCUGUUGUCAUUUUGAGGAAAGACUGAAGAGCUGGGGGCUAGAUUUAACAUGGAAAACUCAUAGAUAAUAUGUUGAUGUUCUGCUCUAUACAGUGUAGGAAUUAGUAGAAACCAAGACGAAACACAUAACAUUGGAGCAUUGUAAUGGAGAAAUGGGAUGGCCCUGCCUAUAAAUUCAGCUUGACUUGCCAACACUGCAAUUCAUUGUAGGGACGUUUCUCUGCAGAGAAGGACGUGGGUGUCCUGGUGGACAACAGGUUGACCAUGAGCCAGUAGCGUGACCUUGUGGCCAGGAGUAUCCUAGGGUACAUUUGAAAGACCAUGGUCAGCAGGGUGAGAGAGGUGAUCCUCCCCCUGUACUGUGCCCUGGUGAGGCCACAAGGCGAGUUCUGUCGCCAGUUCUGGGCUUCCCACUUCAAGAAAGACAAGGAACUAUUGGAGAGAGUCCAGCAGAGGGCUACAAAGAUGACAAGGGGCCUCAAGGAGCAUCUUCCUUAGGAAUAGAGGUUGAGAGACCUGAGGCUGUUCAGUCUGGAGAAGUCUGAGAGGGAAUCUUAUCAAUGUUUAUAAAUAUCUAAAAGGCAGGAGUGAAAUGGAUGGGGUCAGGCUCUUUUCAGUGGUGCCCAGCAACAGGACAAGGAGCGAUGGGCACAAACUGUAACACGGGAAGGUCCGUCUGAAUAUGAGGAAAAACUUCUCUGAGGGUGACAGAGCCCUGGAACAAGCUUCCCAGGGAAGUGGUGGAGACAUUAUAACACUCCUGGACACUUUCUUGUGCAGCCUGUGGGGAACCUGCUCUAGCAGGGAGGGCUGGACUAGUUGAUCUCCUGAGGUCCCCCCUAUGAUUCUGUGACAGCUGCAAGACCUUGUGGGGUGAUGUAUGUACAGUGCUGACCACAGGUGAACGAGAUUGUGUGGUUUGGGUGCUAUGGAAGCUCCCCAAGCUUGGCUGUCAAGGUUAUCCUCUGAAGGCAGCCUUAACACCUCUGCUUUCAGGCAGGACAGAGCCAGUGUGCCAUCAUGGUGCUGCUAGAGCAGGGAUCUUUCCCACAGUGCAAGGUCCCAACAGCAGAUGGUUAUUAAAGAUCCCAUGCUAGUUUCAAAAGAUAAUUCCAAGCUUUAAUCUUGGCUCACUUUCCUUUUACUGGAUUUUUUUUUCUUAGAGGAAACCCCGCUAUCUCCUCUGAAGUAUCAUUUGAAUGUGGCAUUUGCUCUUAAACUUCUCCCACAUUGUACCACCGAGGAAGCCAUUUCAAUAAUGACAUAUUAGUGCCUAUAAGUGCUCUAAAGUGUUUUAAAAAACAGCCCUAAGUGCUCGAUUUACCUUAGGGCACCUCAUGCAUCCCCCCAGCAGAUCAGAGAUUCUUGUCUUUUCCUUCUAGUUGCUCAACAACUGGAAUUGUCCUGUACUUUUUUGCCCAUAAUGCCCAGCAUGAUUUAAAAGCCUUUUUUUCUUUUUCAUAGUGCCUUGAUAAUUUAUAGACAAUGAGAUUUUAUCAGUAGAAAACCACAUUAAGAAAAUGCUUGUUAAUUAUCUGCUGGUUAAUAUGAUAAUUUAGCAAAAAAAAAAACAACACCUAUUAAGAGCUUCUAAUUAGGUGAAAUGCUUCUCAUCUUUAACACACAAAGUGUCCAAGUUAAUGAGGUUCACCUUCGAUUUGUAGCUUGCUCAGAGAUUAAAAGCUCCCUCCAUUUAUAGCUCUUCACAUCACUCCAUUCGUAAAAGCAGACACAAGCCAAGCUUGAAUACCUGACUGCUGCACUAUCUCUUCAAAGGUGAGACGACAAAAACCCAUCUCCCUUCAUGAAAGCCUUUCCAACCCAAUGCACAUCUCCCUCCAUCCCCCGCUGUUUCUAUUUUUGCAGAGCUGGCACGACUGCGGUGGAAGUUAGACGGAACCAGAAGCAAACCAGAUGCCCACAGCGUUAGGGACAAUUUGAGGACUGCUCUGCCAGCUCCGUGUCACCGAGACCAACCUCUGAUCUCACUGACAUCAGUGCAAACCUAACUAAGUCCACUGAAACUUGUGGAGUUCAUCACAUCCAGAAAAUUCAGACUUUGGCUACAUGGGAAGCCAACAUCUAUCUAUCUAUCUAUCUAUCUAUCUAUCUAUCUAUCUAUCUUUCCUUCUUUCUUUCCUUCUUUCUUUCCUUCUUUCUUUCCUUCUUUCUUUCCUUCUUUCUUUCCUUCUUUCUUUCUUUCUCUGUUUAAGAUGAAUUAUUUUGGAGGGUAAAUCUGGUAUAUGUGACAGCUUGGGCAACUUUGUCCUAGGGACUGUGAUGGGAUGGAGAUUAUUUAGAAAGAGGGAUUUUAUUUAGAAGAAAGGAAGGGGAAUGACUUCUUACGUGGUCUAAUAGUGAUAGGACAAGGGGAAAUGGCUUUAAACUAAAGGGGAAAUUUAGGUUAGAUGUUAGGAAGAGAUUCUUUACUCAGAAGGUGGUGAGGAACUGGAGAGGGCUGCCCAGCGAAGUGGAUGCCCCAUCCCUGGAGGCGUUCAAGGCCAGGUUGGAUGGGGCUCUGGACAACCUGAUCUGAUGGGGGGGCAACCAGCCCAUGGCAGGGGGAUUGGAAUUACAUGAUCUUUAAGGUCUCUUCCAAUCCAAGCCACUUUAUAUUUCUUUGAUAUUAUGGUUCUAUGAUUUUACUGUCUGGAAAACUGUCCCCUUCAUGAGGUUCUUCCUGCAAAUACUACACCUUGCAGAACGUGUUCAGAUGCAGCUUCAUUCUUUUCUCCCCUUUCUAGGCUUUUUCUCCUGGAUAAGGCCUUGUGGCUGUGCUGAUGCUUUUUUUUCCUGCAGGAUGACAACUUUUUCACAAUGUGUGUUUAGAACCUGACCUUACAGGUGGGGUAGGAGCAGCUCUUCAGGAAUCAUUUUGCAAUUCAGAAGUACAUUUUAGCCAUUUCGUCCAGCUGGAAAAUGCUCUUAAGCCCCAGGAAAUGCUUUUAAAUUCCACCUCUGUUUCUUGAGCAUUUUGGGGCAGACAGCAAAACUCCUGUGGGGGGAAAUAAAAAAAUCAUGUGAAUGCUAGAAGUGCUGCCU